Molecule: long non-coding RNA, 1258 nt
Organism: Zalophus californianus (California sea lion)
Lineage: Eukaryota; Metazoa; Chordata; Mammalia; Carnivora; Otariidae
Source: Ensembl
GAACGCCGCAGCCUAAAGAGCGGCGGAAUUGGAGCGUCGGGGAGACUAUGUCUUACCCUCCUGUGCCAGAGUUGCCCUCGAUCCGACUCUCCAGCGUCUCCACAGCCGGUAAAGGCCCAGCCAUCGUGCCCGCGGAGAGCAAAGCCUCUGGGCGCUACAGAUGUUCCAAGGGGAGGCGGGCGGUCUCUGCACCGUCCCCUGCCCCCAUUCAGCCCUCUGGCCCUGAAGUCUCAAAGAUGCAAGAGAGAGAGUGGAACGACCUUCCCUGACCUCAUUUUCAUGACGGCGCGAGCACACCCGGAGCCGGCUACGCACAUUCCGGAGCAGGCGCGCGCCGACACUCACACACUCACACGGGCACACACACACCCGAGACCUGGGCUGCAGGACCCUGCCCAUGCUUGAGUUCACACCAGCUCCGCCACUAUUCUGGGCACUGCCGGGGCUGUGGACGCUCAAAGAAUAGAUCCUCAUUAGCAUCUUGCUUUGAAUAUCAUUUGCAUUUUAUAUCAUGUCAAAACGCUCAGAACUCUCCCCAGCCCGCACCUCUCCCCAGAGCUUGAGAGUCGUGGGCCUCCAGCUCUAGCCCCUUCCCUGUGGGCCGAGCAGUUGCUGGCUGCACCCUCGCGUGGCCAGAGCACCACAAACACCCACAGCCCCAAGAGGGGCUUAACCUCUCCUGAGCUCUUGGCAAGUUCCAGGCCCUGCGCUAAGGGUUUAGGUGAAUGAUCUCAUUCAGUCCUUGCAACAACCCAAAGAGCUAAGCACUACGUUGUAUCCAUUUGAGAAAAGAGGAAACUGAGGCACAAAGACGCCUUGCUCAAGGUCAAGGAGCUAAAACUGGAGGAAGCGGAACUGAAAUCCAAGGCCGCCGGACGCCGAAGCCCGAAAGCUUAACCGCUUCGCCGCCCUGCCUCGCGCAAGGUCAAAGCUAAGGUAACCGCGACAGAAGAAAGUAUGUUUUCCUACGUAGAAGAAAGUCAUUCUCCGCCCCACCGCGACCCUUCCCCCACCCUGGCCGCGAGGGGACCCGGGCGCAUUCCCCCGGCGGGGGCUCUCAGCGCCCUCUCGUCGGGCCGCCCCUUGUCCUGACCCCUUUCCCAGCGAGGGCUCGGCCGAGUCCGGCCGCCGUGCUCUCGAGGUCGUCUGUCGGCGCUGGCUAGUUAAGAAAAAUAAACAACGUUCCAAAUGGAGGCGAUUCCUUUCAACCCAAGCCCCGCCGCCUGCCAGAGAAAUGCAAACAGCGGGGGACGGCCCG